GAUCCAGCUUGCUCAUCAGUGGUGGUGCUCCAGACAGUUGUCAUUUUGGGGGUGUUUGUGAGAGGAGGGGAGCUGAGGCUCUGAGGAUCCCCUAUCAGCUUUUCUUUUCAAACACAGUGUCAUUUUUCUUUUGAAGACGUAGCAUUGUCUUGUUGCCAUGGUCAGCUUCUAUGCAGAGACCCGUGUGUUUAGUGAAGUUUGCUUGCAUCUCCUGUCACCCCAUGUGGCUUAUGGUGCCUCCCAUCUUCAUGACGUGAAACAAGCCGGGACGCCUCUGUGGGUGAGUGACUCCUUGUACAGUGAUAGGGUUCAAAAGUGGGUUAGUCGCUGAAGUGGUUAUAGCCCUGUUACUCAACGAAGAGACAUGAAGUGUCCACCCACAUCACUAGGGGCUCCCUGUGAGACUC
This 407-nucleotide long non-coding RNA is filed under the name Bos taurus (domestic cattle). RNAcentral's name for it is "long non-coding RNA NONBTAT008179". Lineage: Eukaryota; Metazoa; Chordata; Mammalia; Artiodactyla; Bovidae. The record is from RNAcentral.